Molecule: RNA transcript, 1560 nt
Organism: Gossypium raimondii (Peruvian cotton)
Lineage: Eukaryota; Viridiplantae; Streptophyta; Magnoliopsida; Malvales; Malvaceae
Exons: 4
Source: RefSeq, a predicted model, not a curated record
UAGGUGUAUUGGCUAUGCCAAUACACCCCUAAUCGGUGGGCCCCACCUAAUACCUCUCUAAUCCGCCGUUUGGUUCAGCGUAUUGCUAAUACGCGUGUAUUUCGUUACUUUCCUAAUCGGUGAAAAGCACCGAUUUCUAUUCCCCCUUCUGCCCAAAUUAGGUGAUGCUUCAGCAAACCCUCCCUCUUUUACUCUCCCCCGAUCCCCUUUGUUUCUCUUCUGUUUUCCACCUUCAUCCGAUUUGCUUCCUUGUUUCAUUGCUUUUCUUUUCUGCCGAUUUGGUACCAGUUUAUUUUCUUGCCUUUUCUUUUGUUUUCUUUCGUUUUCCCUCUAACCAAACACUAAAUUUUCCCUCUCUUUCUCUCCAUUUUCUUUCAUAAUACUCGGAGCGUAAAAAGAAAAAAAAAUACUGUAAUUACUUUCUAGACGAUAACUAGAGAGAGUGAAGCCAAGAACUUUCUGGAAUUUUUAAUCUAACCUUCUUCUUUUUUUGUUUUAGUUCAGAGAGAGUGUUUUUGAAUUUCAUCGUUUGUUAAUUUCUUCUUUAGUUUCCUUUUCUUUUGCUACUUGAUUCGGUUAACGAUCAAUAUGUGAGAUUUAGCUCUUUGAUAGUCGGAAUUAGAAUGAUGGAGCGGUUAAUCUCCGUUUGUUUACAAUUGAUUUUGGUGUUGGAUUUGGUUUUCAGAGUUUCAGGAAAUGCGGAAGGAUGUUGUAUUAUGCCAUGCAGGGAUCUUUCAAACAAUAAGCUAGAAGGAGAUAUUCCAGUUAAUGGUUCCUUUUCACUCUUCACUCCCAUCAGAGUUUUGCUAAUAAUUGGUUGAAUAAUCCUCCACCUGCUCCGCCGCUUCCUAUCACACCUACAGCUCCAAUUCCAUCAGAACGUCCGGAAUCUCAAGCACCACUUGAUUGGGCUGUAAGGAAACGGAUUGCAUUAGGAGCUGCAAGGGGGCUUGCAUAUUUGCAUGAUCAUUGUGACCCUAAGAUUAUACACCGUGAUGUAAAGGCUGCAAAUAUAUUGUUGGAUGAGGAAUUUGAAGCAGUUGUCGGAGACUUUGGGUUGGCCAAAUUAAUGGACUACAAAGAUACGCACGUCACAACUGCUGUUCGUGGCACAAUUGGUCACAUAGCUCCUGAAUACCUAUCAACUGGAAAGUCAUCAGAGAAAACUGAUGUUUUUGGCUACGGUGUCAUGCUUCUUGAACUCAUUACAGGACAGAGGGCUUUCGAUCUAGCUCGGCUUGCAAAUGAUGAUGAUGUCAUGCAGCCAUUACCUCUCAGAGCUGCACAAGACCUCAUUAGAUUCUUGCAUCAGCCAGUUUAUCACAGUCAGAGAUUUAAAUUGUGGCUUAGCUAUUUUGAGAUAUAUGGUGGAAAACUCUUUGACCUUUUGAGUGAUAGAAAGUAAUUCCCUUUUCUUUCCUUGCUUAUUUAUUUAUGCAUGUACAUGUGUGUUAUAAAUCAAUUUUUUUCUUAAAAGCACUUGAUUGAGUAUGAUGUGUAAUAAAUUUUAAUUAUCUUCUGGUUUGACCUUCUAUUAUGUAUCAAGCCAUUUGCCCUUCA